GAUGAACGCUGGCGGCGUGCCUAAUACAUGCAAGUCGAGCGAACGGACGAGAAGCUUGCUUCUCUGAUGUUAGCGGCGGACGGGUGAGUAACACGUGGAUAACCUACCUAUAAGACUGGGAUAACUUCGGGAAACCGGAGCUAAUACCGGAUGAUAUUUUGAACCGCAUGGUUCAAAAGUGAAAGACGGUCUUGCUGUCACUUAUAGAUGGAUCCGCGCUGCAUUAGCUAGUUGGUAAGGUAACGGCUUACCAAGGCAACGAUGCAUAGCCGACCUGAGAGGGUGAUCGGCCACACUGGAACUGAGACACGGUCCAGACUCCUACGGGAGGCAGCAGUAGGGAAUCUUCCGCAAUGGGCGAAAGCCUGACGGAGCAACGCCGCGUGAGUGAUGAAGGUCUUCGGAUCGUAAAACUCCGUUAUUAGGGAAGAACAUAUGUGUAAGUAACUGUGCACAUCUUGACGGUACCUAAUCAGAAAGCCACGGCUAACUACGU
Molecule: ribosomal RNA, 496 nt
Filed under: uncultured bacterium
Lineage: Bacteria
Description: partial 16S ribosomal RNA
Rfam family: Bacterial small subunit ribosomal RNA
Source: RNAcentral